UAUGGUCACAUCACGUUGAAACAUGGGUUUCCGUACGAUCACUGAAGUUAAGCAACGCCGAGUCUGAUCAGUACCUAAAUGGGUGACCGGUUGGGAAUGCUGUAU
Non-coding RNA from Acanthosepion pharaonis, 105 nucleotides. The record is from the annotation of a GenBank genome assembly. NCBI's taxonomy places the organism in Eukaryota, Metazoa, Mollusca, Cephalopoda, Sepiida, Sepiidae.